GACGUAGGGCGCGAGCGUUGUCCGGAUUUAUUGGGCGUAAAGAGCUCGUAGGUGGUUCGGUAAGUCGGGUGUUAAACCCCCAGGCUCAACCUGGGGACGCCACUCGAUACUGCUGUGACUUGAGUCCGGUAGGGGAGCGUGGAAUUCCUGGUGUAGCGGUGAAAUGCGCAGAUAUCAGGAGGAACACCAGCGGCGAAGGCGGCGCUCUGGGCCGGUACUGACACUGAGGAGCGAAAGCGUGGGUAGCAAACAGG
This 254-nucleotide ribosomal RNA is filed under the name uncultured bacterium. RNAcentral's name for it is "partial 16S ribosomal RNA". It matches the Rfam family "Bacterial small subunit ribosomal RNA", at positions 524 to 776 of the family's 1533-position model. The record is from RNAcentral.